CUCAGGUUAAUGCACACUCUGCUGGUUGAACAGCCGUUGCCUGGAUUCAGUUCUUGGCUGUUCUGCAAGCUUUCAGACAAAGCUUUUGGUUUGCCAUGCAAAUAGGUGGCACCCAGCCUGCCUCGGGGAGCAUGUGACUGUGUCAGGAGGGCUGGCUGACCCCUAGCAACCAGAGCUCAUCUCAUAGAGUGGUGGUACAUCUCCAGGAUUUGUUCCUCCCAUUCAGCAGAAGUGGUUGACCGCACCAUCGGCAGAAGAAUCAAACCGCUCACAACUGUGUCAGGUCCUGGCCUCGGGAGGAGCUCAACUGGGAGAACCUUUGGCAAGGAGAGAUGAGAGGAUUUGCCUAAUGAAAUUCCUCCCGAGCCUGCGCUUGAACAAGUCCUUGAGACAAAUGAGGAUUCAGUGUUUCAUCUGUAGUGGAUCUGCUUAAAAUAGUUUCCUGGGGAAGAAAGACAACUGCUCAUUUCCCGAGAUCCCACUGCGCUGCGUCCUACACCAAGCAGUCACAGGGGCAGAGGUGGGCAGCCAGGGAAGUUGUAUCUCAGUAUUUAAAAUGAGACAAGCCUGGGUUCUGGGAGAUCUUUCUUUUUGACAUUUUUGAUUUCAAAAAAGCACCAGAAGAGAUGGAAUAUUUUUCCUUCGACUUUACAGUAAAAACUAGAGUUGUG
RNAcentral lists this long non-coding RNA (671 nucleotides) under Numida meleagris (helmeted guineafowl). Its description in RNAcentral is "lncRNA (ENSNMEG00000006446.1)". Lineage: Eukaryota; Metazoa; Chordata; Aves; Galliformes; Numididae. The record is from RNAcentral.